Rosa chinensis is the source of this 187-nucleotide small nuclear RNA. RefSeq annotates it as U2 spliceosomal RNA. The record is from RefSeq and is a predicted model, not a curated record. NCBI's taxonomy places the organism in Eukaryota, Viridiplantae, Streptophyta, Magnoliopsida, Rosales, Rosaceae. The transcript has a single exon.
GUUCUUUCUCGGCCUCUUGGCUAAGAUCAAGUGUAGUAACUGUUCUUAUUAGUGUAAUAUCUUAUAUGUGGAUCAAUAAUCCACACGAUAUUAAAUUAAUAUUUUGAUGGGGAUGACUUGCCACAAUAGCUUGCUAUUAGAGCAAGUUUACCCGUUGGGCUAAUAGGUCAGGUUCACCAGGUCACUA